CUACGGGUCGCUGCAGUGGGGAAUAUUGGGCAAUGGGCGAAAGCCUGACCCAGCAACGCCGCGUGAAGGAAGAAGGUUUUCGGAUCGUAAACUUCUAUCCCAGGUGAAGAUAAUGACGGUAGCCUGGAAGGAAGCCCCGGCUAACUACGUGCCAGCAGCCGCGGUAAUACGUAGGGGGCAAGCGUUGUCCGGAAUGAUUGGGCGUAAAGGGCGCGUAGGCGGCCUUCUAAGUCCGAUGUGAAAGUCCUGCUUUUAAGGUGGGAAUUGCAUUGGAAACUGGAGGGCUUGAGUGCAGGAGGGGUAAGUGGAAUUCCCGGUGUAGCGGUGAAAUGCGUAGAGAUCGGGAGGAACACCAGUGGCGAAGGCGACUUACUGGACUGUAACUGACGCUGAGGCACGAAAGUGUGGGGAGCAAACAGGAUUAGAUACCCGCGUAGUC
RNAcentral lists this ribosomal RNA (439 nucleotides) under uncultured bacterium. RNAcentral's name for it is "partial 16S ribosomal RNA". It matches the Rfam family "Bacterial small subunit ribosomal RNA", at positions 339 to 795 of the family's 1533-position model. The record is from RNAcentral.